UGGGGAAUUUUGGACAAUGGGCGCAAGCCUGAUCCAGCCAUGCCGCGUGCGGGAAGAAGGCCUUCGGGUUGUAAACCGCUUUUGUCAGGGAAGAAAUCUUCUGAGUUAAUACCUCGGGAGGAUGACGGUACCUGAAGAAUAAGCACCGGCUAACUACGUGCCAGCAGCCGCGGUAAUACGUAGGGUGCAAGCGUUAAUCGGAAUUACUGGGCGUAAAGCGUGCGCAGGCGGUUUUGUAAGACAGAGGUGAAAUCCCCGGGCUCAACCUGGGAACUGCCUUUGUGACUGCAGGGGCUUGAGUGCGGCAGAGGGGAUGGAAUUCCGCGUGUAGCAGUGAAAUGCGUAGAUAUGCGGAGGAACACCGAUGGCGAAGGCAAUCCCCUGGGCCUGCACUGACGCUCAUGCACGAAAGCGUGGGGAGCAAAACAGGAUUAGAUAGCCCU
Molecule: ribosomal RNA, 443 nt
Filed under: uncultured bacterium
Lineage: Bacteria
Description: partial 16S ribosomal RNA
Rfam family: Bacterial small subunit ribosomal RNA
Source: RNAcentral